This 253-nucleotide ribosomal RNA is filed under the name uncultured bacterium. RNAcentral describes it as "partial 16S ribosomal RNA". It matches the Rfam family "Bacterial small subunit ribosomal RNA", at positions 524 to 776 of the family's 1533-position model. The record is from RNAcentral.
UACAGGGGGUGCAAACGUUGCUCGGAAUUAUUGGGCGUAAAGCGCGCGUAGGCGGCUACUUAAGUCGGAUGUGAAAGCCCCUGGCUCAACUGGGGAAGUGCACCCGAAACUGAGUGGCUUGAGUGCGAAAGAGGGUCGCGGAAUUCCCGGUGUAGAGGUGAAAUUCGUAGAUAUCGGGAGGAACACCGGUGGCGAAGGCGGCGACCUGGGUAGAUACUGACGCUGAGGUGCGAAAGCGUGGGGAGCAAACAGG